UAGGAGGUAGGAGGUAAAUAACUUCCAGUUCCAAGGUACUGUGAAAUGGCUCAUGAAGGAAUUCAAAGUUCUACCGAAAAUCAAUAAAGGCUUUCGAACAGAAUUUGGUAAUGGAAAAGUCAGUGAAAAAAUUGAAGUACCCGUUAGGAGGACACUGGAGAAUUUCAAGAAAAUGAAGCAGAAAACCAUAACACUUGGCCCCAUGGAAAGUGAAAAGCUACCAGCCAUAUUCUCCGUCCUGUAAUCUCUCAGUUUCAUGAGCCUCGACUUUACUUCCCUGUGUAUAUCUGCACUCGAAGACUCUGCCUAUGACCUUUUCAGCCUCUGGAUCCCAAAAAAGAUGUUCUACCUAUCAGAUACGUGUUGAAGAGUUUCCUUGGUCCAGUGAGCUGUGACUUGUGAGAAUGGAGAUCACAAUGUAUAUUAUUCCCUGUGCCUACCCUUUUAUCCUAGAGUAUCAA
RNAcentral lists this long non-coding RNA (461 nucleotides) under Homo sapiens (human). Its description in RNAcentral is "HSALNT0107511". Lineage: Eukaryota; Metazoa; Chordata; Mammalia; Primates; Hominidae. The record is from RNAcentral.